UCGGCCAUUUUUUUUUUGGUUAAUCACGUGUUACAAAUACAAUUGUAACAAACACACGCCAAUACUUUGUCGUAUUUAACCAGGAAAUACUGACUCAGACAGUUCUUAUUUAAAAUAAAUAUACAUGUAAAAAGUAUACUAUUCGGUAAAAAAUGAUAAUUUUGAUUAAACAUCAUUCAUUUUAAACUAUCCCAAGAUGCACUUUUCCAAGAUUUAGCGGGUUCUGAUUGGUCAGUAUUGGCGCACUUUAUGAUUCCGAGCGAAGGUUAAAAUGGACAAGAAGGUGCUGUUGUAAAAUGGAGAAUUGAGAAGCAUUAAUAGCCUCUAUAACAAGGAGAUAAUGCAGGAACGAAGAACUCAUGUCAAGCAUUGACAGCAUACAAAGUCAAUGUUUCCGGUGAUAAGUUGCAUCCUCUGUUCGGUGAUUCGGGUGAAUGUUUUGACCAGCUGGACGAUGUGAACGCAAGGUAUUGCUUUGAAAUUGAUUAUUUUCACCAUUAACUUAUACAUGUGUUGGAUGUUUAUAAUUUACUGUAGUAAUUUUUGGGAAAUCCAGGUCUAAGUUCUUGAAAAGGAGGUUGAUGAUGGGGGGGGGGGGGGGGGGGUAAAACACACUUAUUGUUGAUAAGUUUUUCCAUUGUUCAACAAACAAUAAUUGAAUCAAAAUGAAAAUAACAUAGCUUCAAACAUAAAAUGAAACAUUUUAGACCAGAUACUACUGUAGUCAUUAUAUGACAUAGUUUAAACAGCAACUGGCAACUGCAUAGUAGCUUCUGUAUUCAGAAUUUUAUUCAGAAUGCUUUUAUUACAUGUUAGGCUGAAUGACUUAUGUUUAUUGUUUAAAAAUCUAAAUGAAACUUUAUUAUUCAUGUUUAAGAUAAAUAGAACACAUAAAGUACAGCCCAGUGAAACAAACAAGUUCAUCGCAAGAAGAAGAAUUUUAAUGCUACCACUGUCCAGAACUACUAAAUCUGCUGUAGCCAUGAUGUGAUCAUAUGAGUGCUUCGCCGGUCUGGACAAUGCUCGAAAGUCCCCCAAAAAGGCCUAUUUCCAUAAACUACGACUCGGGUUACAUCAACAACAGCCAAGGACACUCCUUAUUGAUUCGAAUGGACACAUCUCUACGACCCGACUAAACCUCUGCAGAACAAGACUUUUUAACUGUAAAGUAUUCUCAUUUCAAAAAACCUAUAAACUAUAAAAGUACUUUUUUUAUAUGAUCAAAUACCAGUAUAUUACAAUGUCUGUCUGUAAGCUAGAAUCUUAGAAAAUCACAUGGUUUUGACUUAUUAAAUGAUUGAUUAGACCUUGCAGAUAUUAACUUUCAUUUUCUUAAAUAAUUUGUUAUAUUUGCAAAUAUUGCAUAAAAUAUUAGACUCCAUGUAACAUAUAUCCUCAUACCUCCAAGUUGAUAAGUGUUAACUACUUUUUUUUUUUCAUUUUCUUUGUUUAAACAUUUAUUGAUAACUUAGUUUUUAUUUGCAGCAAUAUAUGAAAAAUUAAGAAACCAAUCUUAAAUGUAAAAACACUGCAUUAGGAGAUGAAUGCAUGGGUCAUGGAAAUGAUAAAAUACACCAAACAAUAUUCAAUUAUGUCGUAUAUGAAAAUAUAUAAAGACAACAUAUACCCGAUGUAUUACAAUUUUUAUAUAACAAAAUUACUUGGAUGGAAAGUUGUUUCCAUGUGGGUUUUAUUUUAAUCUGUAUUGUGUAACUAAAAUAUAAUUGGAAUUAGCUUUUAUAUCAUAAGUAAAAUGCUGGUAUUGAUGAGAAUUGUAAGGUGAAUGAUCUGUGUGAUACUUUGUAUUUUAUACAUUUAUGCUACAUGUAGUAAUACUUGUCAUAUAUAAACAAUGUAUAUUUUACUUCAUGUCUUGGAUUUAAAAAUAUUAAUGUAGGUAAAGUAGUGAAAUGUAGGAAGGUAAACCGUGUGUAAAGAAGCAUAUUCAUCAGGAAUGAAGUGUGUUGCAAUCAGCAUAAUUAAUUAAAUGUGUACAUCAUAUUUUUGCACAUGAUUUGACAGACUGCUCCAUUGUUAGCUUUUUAUUGGCCAACAAGCUUUUCAUAUCUCCCUCUGGGUCAUCUAUUAAAUACUGACAGGCUUAUGAUAUUAAAAUCUGAUCAGUUGGUACAUCAUGGGUGGAAAUGAAAAGUUCACUUUGGACUUAAUGGAUUAUCAAAAAAAUGAUAUCAAAUCCUGUUCUAUUGUAAAACAUUAGA
Molecule: long non-coding RNA, 2219 nt
Organism: Magallana angulata
Lineage: Eukaryota; Metazoa; Mollusca; Bivalvia; Ostreida; Ostreidae
Exons: 2
Source: RefSeq, a predicted model, not a curated record